RNAcentral lists this ribosomal RNA (468 nucleotides) under uncultured bacterium. RNAcentral's name for it is "partial 16S ribosomal RNA". It matches the Rfam family "Bacterial small subunit ribosomal RNA", at positions 28 to 507 of the family's 1533-position model. The record is from RNAcentral.
GACGAACGCUGGCGGCGUGCUUAACACAUGCAAGUCGAACGGAAAGGCCCUGCUUUUGUGGGGUGCUCGAGUGGCGAACGGGUGAGUAACACGUGAGUAACCUGCCCUUGACUUUGGGAUAACUUCAGGAAACUGGGGCUAAUACCGGAUAGGAGCUCCUGCUGCAUGGUGGGGGUUGGAAAGUUUCGGCGGUUGGGGAUGGACUCGCGGCUUAUCAGCUUGUUGGUGGGGUAGUGGCUUACCAAGGCUUUGACGGGUAGCCGGCCUGAGAGGGUGACCGGCCACAUUGGGCCUGAGAUACGGCCCAGACUCCUACGGGAGGCAGCAGUGGGGAAUAUUGCACAAUGGGCGGAAGCCUGAUGCAGCAACGCCGCGUGCGGGAUGACGGCCUUCGUGUUGUAAACCGCUUUCGCCUGUGACGAAGCGUGAGUGACGGUAAUGGGUAAAGAAGCACCGGCUAACUACGUG